RNAcentral lists this ribosomal RNA (531 nucleotides) under uncultured bacterium. Its description in RNAcentral is "bacterial SSU rRNA". It matches the Rfam family "Bacterial small subunit ribosomal RNA", at positions 28 to 521 of the family's 1533-position model. The record is from RNAcentral.
GACGAACGCUGGCGGCGUGCCUAACACAUGCAAGUCGAACGGUCCGGCACUCAACCGACCCUCAGUCUAACUGUAGGGGAAGUUGAGUGCCGGGUAGUGGCGGACGGGUGAGUAACGCGUGGGCAACCAACCCUGUACAGUGGGAUAACACCGGGAAACCGGUGCUAAUACCGCAUGACACCUAUAUGGUGCAUACCGUAUAGGUUAAAGGAUUUAACCGGUACAGGACGGGCCCGCGUCCCAUUAGCUAGUUGGUGAGGUAACGGCCCACCAAGGCGACGAUGGGUAGCCGACCUGAGAGGGUGACCGGCCACACUGGGACUGAGACACGGCCCAGACUCCUACGGGAGGCAGCAGUGGGGAAUAUUGCGCAAUGGGGGGAACCCUGACGCAGCGACGCCGCGUGAGCGACGAAGGCCUUCGGGUCGUAAAGCUCUUUCGGCCGGGAAAAACUCGCAUCAGUUAAUACCUGGUGUGGAUGAUGGUACCGGAAUAAGAAGCACCGGCUAACUACGUGCCAGCAGCCGCGGU